Gallus gallus (chicken) is the source of this 2405-nucleotide long non-coding RNA. The record is from Ensembl. Lineage: Eukaryota; Metazoa; Chordata; Aves; Galliformes; Phasianidae.
CGGUUGGGGAAGAGGUGUGGACACAUGGUCACGUGACACAUGGACAUGCUACACACGGUCACGUGACACACGGACAUGCUACACACGGUCACAUGACACACGGACACGCAACAUAAAGCAACAGGUGAGAACACGUGUGACAGGAGGACACGUGACAGCGACACGUAACGGGGACACGUGACACGGAUGGAACACGUGGUCAUGUGACACUGACAUGUAACGGGGACACGUAACAUACAGAUGGAACACGUGUUCAUGUGACAAUGACAUGCAAUAGGGACACGUGACGCAUGGCUGUAACACGUGGUCAUGUCACACUGACACGUAUGAAGGACAUGUGGACAUGUGACACACACGCAUGACACGACGACAUGGGAACACGUAAUGCAGUGACGUGUAGACAUGUGACACACACACAUGACACAAUAACAUGAGAUGGACACACAUGACGCAAUGACACGCGUGAUACCACAGCAUGACAUGAGGACACACGUGACGCAAUGACAUGGGGACACGUGUGACACACGUGUGACACAAGGCCAUGGGAACAGACGUGGCACAGUGAUGGGGACACAUGACACAACAACAUGGGGACAUGUGACACGCGUGUGACACAACAACAUGGGGACAUGUGACACGCAUGUGACGCAACAACAUGACACACGGACACGUGACACAGCGACAGGAACACACAUAACACAAUGACAUGGGGACACGUGACAUGCGUGUGACACAACAACAUGACACACGGACACAUGUGACACAGUGACGGGGACACACGUGACACACUGACAGGGGACAUGUGACACACGUGUGACCCAAUGACAUGGGAAUACAUGAGAUGCUGAGACGUGAGGACAUCUGACACACGUGUGACACAAUAACAUGAGAUGGGGACACGUGACGCAAUGACACGCGUGACACCACAGCAUGACAUGGGGACACGUGUGACGCAAUGACAUGGGGACACGUGACAGACAUGUGACACAAGGCCAUGGGAACACACGUGGCACAGGGAUGGGGACACACGUGACACAAUGAUGUGGGAACACGUGACACGCGUGUGAUACGACAUGGGAACACACGUGGCACGGUGAUGGACACACACACAAUGAGGUGGGGACAUGUGACACGCAUGUGACACAACGACACAACACAUGGACAUGCGUGACAACAACAUGACAGGAGGACACGUGACACGGUGAUGGGGACACACGUGACACGUUGACAGAGGAACAUGUGACACACGUGUGACCCAAUGACAUGGGAACACACGUGACGCAGUGACAUGGGGACAUGUGACACACACGUGACACAACAACAUGACAUGGGGACACGCGACGCAAUGACAUGGGGACACGCAACACACAUGUGACACGACAUGGGAACACACGUGGCACAGGGAUGGGGACACACGUGAUACCACGACAUGGGGACACGUGACACACAUGUAACACAAUGACACAACACACGGACACACGUGACAAUGAGGUGGGAACACGUGACACGCGUGACACAACCACAUGACAUGCGAACACACGUGGCACAGAGAUGGGGACACACGUGACACAAUGACAUUCGGCCACGCAACACGCAUGUGACACAAUGACAUGACACGCUGACACACAACAUACCGACACACGUGUGACACAAUGCCGUGACGCGCGGACACACAACACGCAGACACACGUCUGACACACCAACAUGGCGGGAGAACACGUGUGACACAACCCCACGGGGACACGCGUGACACAGCAACGCGACACGGGGACACGCGUGACGUGGGGACACAGCACACACGUGGCACGACGACAUGGGGGAACACGGCAUGAGGACACGUGUGGGACACGUAUGACAUGAGGACACGCCACACACGUGACAAAGAUAUGACACGGAACAUACGUGACACACCAUGAUGCCGGGACACGCGUGACGCAAUGACGCGGGGACACACGUGUGCCACAGCAACACGGGACGUGGGGACACGGGGACAUACGACACGCAACACGGACACGUGGCACACGCGUGACACACAACACGUGUGACGCACAACACGCGUGACACGGCACAGAGAUAGGAUGGCACAGAGACACCGCUGCUGCCCCACAACUGCCUCAACCCCAUAAGUGCCUCCCUGCCCCAUAAGUGCCUCCCUGCCCCACAAGCGCCCCACAGCCCCACAACUGCUUCCCAGCCCCACAACUGCCUACCAGCCCUACAAGCGCCCCCCAGCCCCACAAGCACCGCCCUGCCCCACAGGUGCCUCCCUGCCCCACAAGCGCCCUCCAGCCCCACAAGCGCCUCCCUGCCCCACAAGUGACACCGUGCCCCACAAGCACCCCCCGGUGCUACAACUGCCUCCCAGCCCCACAAGUGCCUCCCAGCCCCACGAGCGCCUCCCUGCC